Molecule: ribosomal RNA, 774 nt
Filed under: uncultured Neocallimastigales
Lineage: Eukaryota; Fungi; Neocallimastigomycota; Neocallimastigomycetes; Neocallimastigales
Description: partial large subunit ribosomal RNA
Rfam family: Eukaryotic large subunit ribosomal RNA
Source: RNAcentral
UAUGUGAUCGUCUCUCGCAUAUCAAUAAGCGGAGGAAAAGAAACUAACAAGGAUUCCCCUAGUAACGGCGAGUGAAGCGGGAAGAGCUCAAAUUUGAAAUCUUAAAGGGUUUCCCUUUACGAAUUGUAGUUUAAAGAAGUGUUUUCUGUUGAGGUUUUGGUAAAAGUUCUUUGGAAUAGGACAUCAUAGAGGGUGAGAAUCCCGUAUUUGACCUUUACUUUCAACUUUGUGAUACACUUUCAAAGAGUCGGAUUGUUUGGGAAUGCAGUCCAAAAUGGGUGGUAAAUUUCAUCUAAAGCUAAAUAUUGGCGAGAGACCGAUAGCGAACAAGUACCGUGAGGGAAAGAUGAAAAGAACUUUGAAAAGAGAGUUAAACAGUACGUGAAAUUGUCAAAAGGGAAGCGUUUGACACCAGUGUUGUCUUUCUGAAAAUCAAUUAAAGAACUGUUUAUGCUAAGCUGUUUAGACUUUAUCAGCUAUCUGUUUAGUUUUGAGCUUUUCUUUAAUGCACUUUUCAGUUAACAAGUCAACAUCAAUUUCUUUUGCUGUAAAAAAGCUUGAGGAAGGUGGCUUGAGAUUCGUCUUAAGUGUUUAUAGCCUCUUGCCUAUGCAGUCGGAGAGAUUGAGGUCUGCAGCGUAGAUCCUUCGGGGCUAAAUGCAUUUGUGCUAAGUUAUAGCAUUUUAUAGACAACUUGUUGACUAUGAUUUGUCUUGUAGCUUACUCGCUUAUGUUAUUUUACCUACGCUUAGGAUGUUGAGCGCAUGUCUCUCUCU